GACGAACGCUGGCGGCAUGCUUAACACAUGCAAGUCGAACGGGUCUGCCCUGUUUUUUGCGGGGUGGGUCAGUGGCGAACGGGUGAGUAACACGUGAGUAACCUGCCCCUCACUUCUGGAUAACCGCUUGAAAGGGUGGCUAAUACGGGGUGUUCUGGCUGUGCCGCAUGGUGUGGCUGGGAAAGAUUCACUUUUGUGGUGUUUUGGUGGGGGAUGGGCUCGCGGCCUAUCAGCUUGUUGGUGGGGUGAUGGCCUGCCAAGGCUUUGACGGGUAGCCGGCCUGAGAGGGUGGGCGGUCACACUGGGACUGAGAUACGGCCCAGACUCCUGCGGGAGGCAGCAGUGGGGGGUAUUGCACAAUGGGCGGAAGCCUGAUGCAGCGACGUCGCGUGAGGGAUGGAGGCCUUCGGGUUGUGAACCUCUUUCGCCGGUGAAGAAGGUCCUGCUCUUUGUGGUGGGGUUGACGGUAGCCGGGUUAUGAAGCGCCGGCUAACUACGUG
Molecule: ribosomal RNA, 500 nt
Filed under: uncultured bacterium
Lineage: Bacteria
Description: partial 16S ribosomal RNA
Rfam family: Bacterial small subunit ribosomal RNA
Source: RNAcentral